This is a non-coding RNA of Camelina sativa (false flax), 1488 nucleotides long. The record is from RefSeq and is a predicted model, not a curated record. Lineage: Eukaryota; Viridiplantae; Streptophyta; Magnoliopsida; Brassicales; Brassicaceae.
CACAUAUAAACGAUGUCCAGAAUAUUUUGCAACACUCUCUACUCUUCUUCUCUCUCGCCGUUAACUCCAACUCGAACAAACACAUCGCGAUUCUCAAACAAACUCAGAGUUUGAGCUCAAUCCUAGACCAUGGACGAUAAUCUCCACCGGAAAUUCAUGGAUUACCCGUACGUGUCACCCACGCGCAGGCAGCUUAUGGUUGGUCUCAUGUCGACGCUGGACGAUCGCCUCCAAUCGCAUCUCCUUCCAUGUACCCUCCCACCUGUUGUACGAAACUUCAAGAACCCUAACCGUUCCGCCGAAGCAUCUAUUCAUAUCAGAUCCGGUGAUAAAACCUCUCCGGAAACAUUAUGGAAAUGGAUGAGGUUGGCUGCCGAGACUACCAAGAAGGGCGAGGUUUAGAUAAAUCAUCAUAUCAAUUGGGAAUUGGGAAUUCGUUUGAAAGCACUGUGCAGUUCCAUCUCCAACACUUAGUAGCCAUGCAGCGAAGUUUCCUUGUGAUUCUUGAAGUCUCAUGUUCUUUUUUAGGGAGAAAACUUUGCAAGAGUCCCACAAGUAUGAUUGUUUAAUUGAUGCUAAUACUGUAUCAGCUCGAGAACCUUGUGGAAUAACUGGUAGUGUUUGUCUGAAGUCCCCACCUAGUAUUACAGUCUUGCCUCCAAAAGGUUGGUCUUUAGCUUCUGAUUUUUUCAUGGACAUCAAGUCUCGUAAUUUUCUGUCAACCGCCUCAAAUGCGUACCGAUGUGCCAUGGGCGCCUCAUCCCAUAUGAUAAGAUCAGUUUUCUCUAUUAGUUCUGCUAACAUCGUUCCUGGCUUUAUAUGACAUAAUGAAUCUUCAUUGAGAUCCAUGGGAAAUUUAAAGCGUGAAUGUGCCGUUCUUCCUGCAGGUAGAAGCAAUGCUGCGAUGCCUGAUGAAGCGACUGGGAGAACAACUUUUCUUUCUGAUCUCAACUUAGAAAUGAUGGUCGAAUAAAGGCUCUUCAUACUGGUGAACUUCUAUUUUGCCUUUAAUCACACCGCUUGGUUGCUCAUCAGUUAUGUUGCUGAAGCUGUGAUCAUUGAUGAGGACCAGUUUUCCAAUAGCAUCUAGGUGGAUCAAAUUUAGAGUUAGAACAUGGUGAUAUUAUUACAAACAUAUAAGCACCGUAUAUUUACCAAAUAGGUCUUCGUUCAUGUCAACAGCUUCUUCAAAUUCUGCAAAAGAACGAAUCCUAAACUUUUGUCUUUCAAUCAGUUCGCCAGCAUCAAUAACCUCAUUCAGACUUGUUUGUUGGGUAAACUGGAUCAGAAACUUGUGUGGAGAUACCCUGUAGCUUUUUUUGUUGUUAGCUACCAAGAAAUUUUUAAUUGUGUAGACAACUCCAGGUUUGAGAUUUUCCUCGUAGUAGGCUACUCGGUUUGCCGUAAUGAAUGCUUGGAUCAAAGUUGACUGUACAAUAAAUUGUCAACUAUGAGAGUGUUUACUUAUGAGAAUAAUGAAACCUUUUU